GUGCACCAGGCGCGAAAACUUUACAAUGCGGGAAACCGUGAUAAGGGAAUCUCGAGUGCCAGCAUAUAAUGUUGGCUGUCCAGAUGCCUAAAAAGCAUCUGUUAGCAAGGGCCGGGCAAGACCGGUGCCAGCCGCCGCGGUAACACCGGCGGCCCGAGUGGUAACCGUUUUUAUUGGGUCUAAAGGGUCUGUAGCCGGCCAUGUAAGUCCCUUGGGAAAUCUGGCAGCUCAACUGUCAGGCUGCUAGGGGAUACUGCUUGGCUUGGGACCGGGAGAGGUGAGAGGUACCUUGAGGGUAGGGGUGAAAUCUUGUGAUCCUCGGGGGACCACCAGUGGCGAAGGCGUCUCACCAGAACGGGUCCGACGGUAAGGGACGAAAGCUAGGGGCACGAACCGGAUUAGAUACCCAAGUAGUCC
RNAcentral lists this ribosomal RNA (417 nucleotides) under uncultured Methanosaeta sp. RNAcentral's name for it is "bacterial SSU rRNA". It matches the Rfam family "Archaeal small subunit ribosomal RNA", at positions 330 to 747 of the family's 1478-position model. Lineage: Archaea; Methanobacteriati; Methanobacteriota; Methanomicrobia; Methanotrichales; Methanotrichaceae. The record is from RNAcentral.